GAUGAACGCUGGCGGCGUGCCUAAUACAUGCAAGUCGAGCGAACAGACGAGGAGCUUGCUCCUCUGACGUUAGCGGCGGACGGGUGAGUAACACGUGGAUAACCUACCUAUAAGACUGGGAUAACUUCGGGAAACCGGAGCUAAUACCGGAUAAUAUAUUGAACCGCAUGGUUCAAUAGUUAAAGACGGUUUUGCUGUCACUUAUAGAUGGUUCCGCGCCGCAUUAGCUAGUUGGUAAGGUAACGGCUUACCAAGGCGACGAUGCGUAGCCGACCUGAGAGGGUGAUCGGCCACACUGGAACUGAGACACGGUCCAGACUCCUACGGGAGGCAGCAGUAGGGAAUCUUCCGCAAUGGGCGAAAGCUUGACGGAGCAACGCCGCGUGAGUGAUGAAGGUCUUCGGAUCGUAAAACUCUGUUAUUAGGGAAGAACAAAUGUGUAAGUAACUAUGCACGUCUUGACGGUACCUAAUCAGAAAGCCACGGCUAACUACGUG
This 497-nucleotide ribosomal RNA is filed under the name uncultured bacterium. Its description in RNAcentral is "partial 16S ribosomal RNA". It matches the Rfam family "Bacterial small subunit ribosomal RNA", at positions 28 to 507 of the family's 1533-position model. The record is from RNAcentral.